AGAGAGACAACUGGGUCAAAUGGUGGUUCCAUUCCCAAUUUUCCAAGAAAUGUCCAUACUGCUUUCCAUAUUGGCUGCAUCAAUUUGCAUUCCCACCAGCAGU
Molecule: microRNA precursor, 103 nt
Filed under: Marmota monax (woodchuck)
Lineage: Eukaryota; Metazoa; Chordata; Mammalia; Rodentia; Sciuridae
Source: RNAcentral